AUCUGGUUAGCACAUUCUUUUAGAAAAUGAAGCAGAUGCUUUUUGGUGCUUUCAACGAGCUAUGCGGAAAUUGAGAGAGAAUUUCAGGUCUGAUGCGAACUCUAUGGGAGUGCAAACUCAGUUGCGUGCCCUUUCAGGAAUUGUUAGAGUUAUUGAUCCAAAGCUUCAUCAACACCUUGGUUGGAAAAUCAUGGAUUGGACCCAAAUGCUGAAAUUGUUCCCAAGGGACCAAUAACUGGGAAAAUCGAUCCACGGGCAAUGCAUGGAACUCCUUAGCAUUGUCUCCAAAAAGUGAUGGUGGCAGUGGUACUCGACCAUCAACUGCAGCUAGCGAUAGAGGGCAUGAACCUGUUCC
Long non-coding RNA from Impatiens glandulifera, 355 nucleotides. RefSeq lists it as uncharacterized. Lineage: Eukaryota; Viridiplantae; Streptophyta; Magnoliopsida; Ericales; Balsaminaceae. The transcript is spliced from 4 exons. The record is from RefSeq and is a predicted model, not a curated record.